This 209-nucleotide ribosomal RNA is filed under the name Oceanidesulfovibrio marinus. RNAcentral's name for it is "Desulfovibrio marinus partial 16S ribosomal RNA". It matches the Rfam family "Bacterial small subunit ribosomal RNA", at positions 1 to 210 of the family's 1533-position model. The record is from RNAcentral. Lineage: Bacteria; Pseudomonadati; Thermodesulfobacteriota; Desulfovibrionia; Desulfovibrionales; Desulfovibrionaceae.
UUUAACUGGAGAGUUUGAUUCUGGCUCAGAUUGAACGCUGGCGGCGUGCUUAACACAUGCAAGUCGAGCGAGAAAGUCCGCUUCGGUGGAUGAGUACAGCGGCGCACGGGUGAGUAACGCGUGGAUGAUCUGCCCUCAAGAUCGGGAUAACAGUGGGAAACCGCUGCUAAUACCGGAUACGCUUUACGUUUAUCCUAAGGGAAAGGUGG